RNAcentral lists this ribosomal RNA (331 nucleotides) under uncultured bacterium. RNAcentral describes it as "bacterial SSU rRNA". It matches the Rfam family "Bacterial small subunit ribosomal RNA", at positions 568 to 898 of the family's 1533-position model. The record is from RNAcentral.
CACGUAGAUGGCUUUGUAAGUCGGAUGUGAAAUCCCCGGGCUUAACCUGGGAACUGCAUUCGAAACUGCAUUGCUCGAAUGUGGAAGAGGGAAGCGGAAUUCCAGGUGUAGCGGUGAAAUGCGUAGAUAUCUGGAGGAACAUCAGUGGCGAAGGCGGCUUCCUGGUCCAACAUUGACAUUCAGGUGCGAAAGCGUGGGGAGCAAACAGGAUUAGAUACCCUGGUAGUCCACGCCAUAAACGAUGAGAACUAGAUGUCGGGAGGGUUAGCCUUCCGGUGUCGCAGCUAACGCGUUAAGUUCUCCGCCUGGGGAGUACGGCCGCAAGGUUGAA